This 29-nucleotide non-coding RNA is filed under the name Rattus norvegicus (Norway rat). Lineage: Eukaryota; Metazoa; Chordata; Mammalia; Rodentia; Muridae. The record is from RNAcentral.
UAGAAUGGUCUUUCUUUUUGAAUGUUGCU